RNAcentral lists this long non-coding RNA (707 nucleotides) under Homo sapiens (human). RNAcentral describes it as "non-protein coding lnc-C11orf88-2:2". Lineage: Eukaryota; Metazoa; Chordata; Mammalia; Primates; Hominidae. The record is from RNAcentral.
UCUUUCUGCAGCAGUUCCAAAAGCCGGGCAUUUAUGUCUUUCGUCUGAGCAGCAACCGACAUCGGAAGAUGAUGCAGUGUCACAGCCUGAGCUGGGCUCGGAAGGCUGCUCCCCACCCCACCUUCAGGAGACAUCAGCAAGAAUGCAACCUCGAUGCCUACACUUCCCCAAGAACUGGGAUAAUGUCAAUAAGGAGAGGCCGAUCUCACCAAGACUCUGACGCCCCCAGGGUUGAGGGGGGUCCUGGUGGGAGCUGGGAGGCUGAGGAGCAGGUAGAUCUGGAGUGGUUUGACACAGAGGCCUUCUUUGGAGACUGCCUCAGGCAGUCUCUGUCAGUGACAGCCAAACUCAGCCACACGAAGGAAGAGCUCAAACUCCUCUACCUUAAACUUCUGGGUGAAGCCCGUUCUCUCCAGCAGCUGUGGGGAACAAGGCGCUGCCUCCCAGCCUCCGCUAACCGGCUUCUGAGGAGCGUGCAGAGGGAGCAGCAGCAGGGCAGUUCCCCAGCUGGACACGGUGCUGGGCCACCUGUCCCAGGUCGUGCUGCAGGAGGGCCACCGCCUGAAGGCCUGGGGCAUUCUGGGCACCGGCACUGGGGCGGAGCUACUGAGGCCAGCCCCAGCAGGCCCUCCUGGUGCUGAUGACAUCAGUGUGAACCCCGUCACCAAGUUGAUGGUCCCUGGCCCCAACUCCUUGAUGCUUCCAGC